GAGCACCUGUGGGCAUCUUUCCUCAACGCCCGGACUACAAAUCUCUAACACGGAAAUGUCUGCUACAGAGACAAACUGAAGUUUGUGUAUAUCGUGCUGAUUCAGAAGAGAAUGAAGGCAUUUGUCAAGAGAUAAUGUCAGACUAAUCAGACAUGUUCCAAUCGAUUAAUGCAUUUGGAGGAUUUCCAAAUAUUUGCUGAUCUAAGGACGGUGAGGUAUAUGAUGGGAAACAAAUCUGAGAAAAGAAGGAUGGUAGAUGCUUUCCCAUUGUGACCUGUGAUCAUUUUGGUAAGAACACUUUACUCAAUUAAGAGGCGAUCAAGUGAUUCCAGGCCUGCUGCUAAAUAAUUAUGAGAUGAUAUUUGGAAAUAUGUAUUUCUCCUUUACCUCCUGAAGCCACAGAAACUAGUGGUCUCCUAUUAAGUAAAUAGAUGUGGGUCUCAUUAGAGGGAUCCAUUCUAAAACAGAAGAGGACAACACUCAGGGAGGGCUGCAAUGAGACAGAGAAUCCUGAGAUUGUUCCUCAUGUGCAGAUCUUCACCUGGGGCUGCAGAAGACUGUACAGCUAUAGACAAAAUAAUGAUAAGGUACAGAUGUCGUGGAAAGCCAGAACAUAGGAGUGAAUCCAUCCUACAGUCUGAAGGCGGAAACAAAGCCAUAAAUGGGGUUGGGGGAGAAACCCUGUGGUAAGAAUCUGUAGAGAUGAGGAAAAAAUUGUAGGAUUUAAGGUAGGUUAGGAACUGGCAGUUCAGAGCAAUGCCAGGGUAUUAGAAACUCACUCUCGUGUCAUCUAAGUUUCCCAAUAUAGGAUUGAGUGGACCUCAUCAUAUUAGCCACAUUCAAGGAAUAUAUGUAUGUUAUAGAAGUCAAUGGUUACAUUAAAAUAUUAAGUUUGAACACAAGUUCUAAUUUAUUUUUAUCAUUAUUUCUUAAUAGCAAUUAAUUCUUUGGGGCUUCAAUUACUGACUGUAUUCCAAACGGUUACCAACAGUUCACUUCUUUUAUUGCAGAACUUACACCAUUUCCAAAUAACCAAUGUAAAUUUUUACCUCGGAUAUUAUUUUGUUACCCGCAAACAACAAAUGUGAAUUUAGAUUUAUCAUCUUCGUCGGGGACUGAAUUUCCCCUGUAAUAUUGUUUUUUGUUGAUUUGUUUGUUUUGUAGUGGCAUCCCCUGCCCCUAUGUACCUAUGUUUGAUUUAUCUUUUAUUUCCUUCUUUUAUACUUAAACCUUAAGGUGGAUUGGAAAGUUGAUAUCAGUGACACAAAGUUUAGUUGAUUGGGUACUUUACAUUUCUACUUGACUUUGUACAUUUCUGAUUUAUAUGAACAACAAGCAACUCAGACUAAGCCUCCUUCAUUGCCCUAAGAGGUCUACUAUAUUUCUAGUGAUUUUACCUAGGGGAUCUAUACAUGUACUAACAGUAGAAAUUAGAGGUGCAACACUACUGGCCAGAAUAUAGCAACAUCCUAAGUACAUUAAUAAUGUGUAAAGUGCCCAGCAUGUAAGGCACAAAUAAAAAUAGGGAAUGUCAUUUUAUUAAAUUAUCAGAAGUUAUGGGUCACAUUCAAACAGAAAUAUUCUAAGAAAUUCAAUUCUAAGAAAUUCAACUUACUUUUAAUGUCAAUGUUUCUGAAAUUGGUAAACAUCAUUGACGUCAAAAAGCCUUCUAUGCAUGAAAUAAAUUAUACUUGUCAUUUCUGAGCUUAUGGUAACAUGGUCAAGAAUUAAAGGUAUAUUCAUCUGACUUCUGUUUCAUCAGGCUGCUAUUUGAGAAGGGUUAUUUGCCUUAGUACCAUCAGCAGUGGUUGAAUUUUAUAUUUGGUUCUGCAUUUGUCAUUUAAAAUGUCCACAAAAAGAUAACCCCCUUAAGGAGCAUUAGAACUAGAAGUUACUGUGAACCUAGACGAUCGCCUGUUUUUUGCCAUCUAGCAUAAUGAAGGUCGUAGUAUUGCCAAAGUUUUUCGAAUUCACUGUAGUUUUUUCAAAACUAGAUAAAAACUCUGACCAAUUUUUGAGUCCUGGGGGACUAUCACUUCAGCCAUAAACACAAACAAGUUAACUAGAAUUUAACGAAAUAGUAAAUGGAGAAAAAAAUUCUAGAAUUACCUGAUUUGUUUCUAAAUUAUACUGUUGCUCCUAAAAAUGUUAAGAAAUUAGGGUCGUGAGCACUGUUGGUCACUAUGAUGAUAUGCUUACCCACUGAUGGUCAAAAUUUAUCAGAAGAAUUUUUAGAUUUGGACUAUGUCAUGGCUUAGAUGCUGAUACUGAUGAAUAAAGUGACAUGCAAUUUUAUGGAUAAAUGAAUGUUACUGUUAAGUAGUUUUUAAAUAUGUACAUUUUAAUAUAAUGUAUUUCCUCAAAAUGCUAUUCUCAAUUUGAUGAUAUGCCUUGAAAAUCAAUACUGUUUUAGGAAGAAGGAAAUGUGGUAAAUUAAUGGUGUCAUUAGAAGAACGGAGGUUGCCAUAGAACCUCAUUUGCUUUACUCUUAGGAUGUAACUUUUAAAUUUAUUCUUAUUUGAAUUUUCUUAUCUUCCAUACUGAACAGGAAGCUUAUUGAAUGAACAAACCAUGAGUACAAUUAGCAUAUACCUAAAUUGAUUUGCAGUGAAAAGGUGCUUCAUAAAUUCUUGUUUGCCUGAAGAAAUUAGGAGGCAAAGGAGCAUCAAAACAAAAGGGAAAAUAAGAAUUAAAGUGAGAUGCUGUAUCAGAGGCCAAGUAAAGAUGCUGGUCUGCCUAAUCUGACUUUCUGACACUGAGAGGCAAACCUCCAAAAUUUCCACCUAUCUACAUACAUUCAUUCACUCACUCACCCAGUCUCUAUACAUUAGGAAGUCAUUGCUUUAUGUUAACCCUUGGUUUUGAAAAAGAAUGCAAAAUUAAAUGAAGAAUAAACUCUGUUUAAAAGGGAGGGUUUGUUUGACAGGCAUAUGUAUAAACACUGGAAAUUAUGAGAGUACAGAGGGUUUCCAAUUUUCCACAUACAGAAAGAGUACUAAAAAAUGGUGGUGUGUUCAGAGUAAUGGCAAACUUAAUUUAAUUUCAUGCCUUCAAGCAAUAUUACUUUAUUUAUUGAGAAUUUUAACACAAAGCAAUCAUUUGUAUAUCACGGAUACCCAGAAAGAAUAAAUAUUGUGGUUCUAAUUCCUACACUUUGAUUUAUUAGUCUUUAGUUUAUUUGAAUGUCAUGUCACAGAGUACAGCUAAUAAAAGCAUGAACAUUUGUCUUUGAGCAAGUUUGAUCUGAGGUGAGUAACAUUAAACAAUAGCCUAUUGACAAGCAAUUAAACACCACUUCUUUUCUUAGGAGUGUUUUGAAUUACAUUUGUUCUAACUAGUGGCAGCAUCUUUUGUGUUUAGAAUUCCAAUAUAAUCUUAGAUGAGAAGAAUCUUUUAAUUAGAUUUUCAAUAGAAUCGGCCAAGACCCACUGCUCACCAUCUUGACUCUUUGUCUUCAUUGAUUUGGACCAAAACAAAACAAAGAUAAAUAGCAAAAUUCAUUAUCAAUGUUUAUUUCAACUGUCUAUUGUCAUUUCCUCAGGGUAUACAACACAGUUUUCCGCAGACAGAAUGCUGUGUUUCUUACUUUUAGCUUUAGAGCUGUAUAUUCAACAAUUCUGUGUCAUGGAAGAACCUAGCUGAGGCAAAAAAAAGAAAAAGGUAAUUUUCUUCUUCCAUUUACACGUAAAAUGUUUAUUUGAAGAAUAAGAAAUAAGCAAAGAGACAGGAGAAGGAAAUUGUGUUUCUUUCAGCAAGUAAAAAGAAAGGCAAAACCCAAAAUAAAUAAUAUGUAAUUAUUUUUUAUCUGACUAUUUUUUGGCAUUUGUUUCUGCAUUUCUAAAUAAUGGAACUAUAAUACAUUUUCACUAUUGGUCAAUUUUAGGUAUCAUUUACUUACUACCUAUAAUAAAAGUUAAAAUUGUAGCUAUGAAAGGACCCCUUUAAUGCUAAAAAUAUCACAGGAAAUAUUUGCAUUACCUAAGUCAAUACGUAAGUCAGCCAGGAAGAACAUUUACAAGACAAAGUUGAUCAUGAUACUCUCUUGUAAGUGAAGAUGCUAUUAUUUUAUAACCUAGAUGUGAGGAUCUGAAAGUUGUUAAAUAAAGGCUCCAUAUGAGCUCUUGUACUCUGUAAAAUGUCCUCUUAAGUUAGCUUUAGCUAAACUAACAUACUGCCAGGGAACAGUGUUAAUGUGUUUAAUUACCAAGCUCUUUCCAAGAAAGCCUUGUCACUUGUUCACUGGUCUUAUUGCCACUUUCUGUCUUCACUCUACUUCUACCUUUCCACAAACACAUCAGUACAGAUAUUUGCAUGUUUUGCACUUCUCCACAGUUUGUACUAGUUUCUAGAAGAAAUUUUUUACUGUCAAUUAAGGCAAUGCUUUAUUCACAUGUGGCUGCCACUAGAGAAAUGUCUUAAAUUAACAAAGAAAUAAAUCCAUUAAAAAAAAUGUUUCUCUGUUGCCUGUGCCUUUUGUGAAACCCCAAUUCACAUGCUCACUAACUUUUAAAAUCAUAUAAAAUUUUAAGAGCAAAAGAAUUUUAUUACAGUGUGAUGCAGGGUUAACCGUUUUGAAAUGAUACUUAUACUGCCUAAAUUAUACCUGGUCAUCCAAGUAGAAACUAACAAUGAUUGGGUAAUAAACAGAUGGAAACCAGGUUGCUAAGGAAAAGGAACAGGAAAUGAACUCCCUAAUUAGAUAACAAAGGUUUUGUCUACAUAAUGCCAAAAUAACUAAUUUAAUAUUUUGAAUCAGUUAGAUUGGGUUUUAUCAUGUAAGCAAAACAGAGAACUGAUUCCCUGAUGCUUUCGUUCUAUCUUCAGUUGUUUGUGGCAUUAUAGAGACAACACUUACGUAUGUUUCAAGCUACUUUACCUUUGUAUUUCAGGCCACAUUUCCUAGGGAGACUGUCUAAGGGAAAAUGAUUUUCUCUUUAGUUAUGAGACAAAGCCUAUACCUACAAAUUAGUUUGAUCACUUUGGUUGAGUUUACUAGUAAAGAGCCCUCCUAAAUAGUUUACAUGAUAUGUGUCUACACGUGUGUAUCUGAUUUGCCAAAAUUGAAAUAUUUUGUACAUGGCAAAUACGUUCUUUAAAUGUGUAAGCAAAUAGGUUUAUUUUAGUCAACAAUUGAUGACAGGAUAGAAAAAUAACCAGAAAUGUGGAUCCAGCUCUUAUCAUAGAAAAUUUGUACUCCUGUAGAUUCCAUGACAUCCUCACCUCCUGGUUUAUCUUUGACCUUUCUUUUGGAAUUUCUAAGGGUAGGCAUUGAAGUCUUCCAUUAGUCCUUGAAAACUCAGUCAUUACUCCUUUAAGUAUUGUCUCCCCUUUAUUAUCUCUCUCUCUCUCUCCUUCUGGGACUCCGAUUAGUUACAUACUAGGCCUCCCGACAUGUUCUCCCAGUCUCUUAGCCUCUUUCUCAUAUUUUCUAUCUCCUUAUCCCUCUAUGCUACAUUCUGAUUAAUUUCCUCAGAUGUAUCUUCGAGGUAAUUAGUUUUUUUUUCAUCCAUAUUGGUUGAAUCUACCAUUAAAUCUAUUUAUUCAGGAUUAUUUAUAAUUUUUAGUUUUUAUUUUUAUCUAAUUAAUAAGUGUGAAUUAAAAAAUCAAAUGAUUCUACAAACUAUGCAAUUCUUAGAACCUCUCUC
RNAcentral lists this long non-coding RNA (5645 nucleotides) under Homo sapiens (human). Its description in RNAcentral is "HSALNT0061614". Lineage: Eukaryota; Metazoa; Chordata; Mammalia; Primates; Hominidae. The record is from RNAcentral.